Long non-coding RNA from Athene cunicularia (burrowing owl), 339 nucleotides. RefSeq lists it as uncharacterized. The record is from RefSeq and is a predicted model, not a curated record. NCBI's taxonomy places the organism in Eukaryota, Metazoa, Chordata, Aves, Strigiformes, Strigidae. The transcript has 3 exons.
CAAGGGCAGGUGGGGGGCCGGGCUCUGCCCGGGGGCACCCCAAGGCGGCCACCUCAGGCUCACUGACUGUCUCUCUUCUCGGCAGACGUGGCACCACCCUGCGCCCACAGCUCCGCCUGGCCCUGGACCAGCUGUGGGUGCUGAGCAGCGGGAAGCAGGCAGCGGGGGAGCUCAAAGGGGAAGAGGAGGAGGAAGGCAGCGAGGAGGACAGGGCCUCCAUCCUCCUCAUCUGGCCCACCGGCACCUGCGUUGCCACUUUCGGCUCCUGGGCACUGAAGGAGUUGUGGGUGGGCAAGCUGCUGGGGACACCCCGAAGGAGCCAAGAGAGCCCAAGUGACC